This 443-nucleotide ribosomal RNA is filed under the name uncultured bacterium. Its description in RNAcentral is "partial 16S ribosomal RNA". It matches the Rfam family "Bacterial small subunit ribosomal RNA", at positions 338 to 795 of the family's 1533-position model. The record is from RNAcentral.
CCUACGGGAGACAGCAGUGGGGAAUAUUGGUCAAUGGGCGCAAGCCUGACCCAGCAACGCCGCGUGAAGGAAGAAGGCCCUCGGGUUGUAAACCUCUUUUAUUCGAGACGAAACAAAUGACGGUCACGAAUGAAUAAGCCACGGCUAACUACGUGCCAGCAGACGCUGUAAUACGUAGGUGGCAAGCGUUAUGCGGAUUGACGGGGUGUAAAGGGCGUGUAGGCGGGAGAGCAAGUCAGACGUGAAAUUCCAGGGCUCAACCCUGGAACUGGGUUUGAAACUGUUCUUCUUGAGUGAUGGAGAGGCAGGCGGAAUUCCGUGUGUAGCGGUGAAAUGCGUAGAUAUACGGAGGAACACCAGUGGCGAAGGCGGCAUGCUGGACAUUAACUGACGCUGAGGCGCGAAAGCGUGGGGAGCAAACAGGAUUAGAUACCCCGGUAGUC